RNAcentral lists this long non-coding RNA (29319 nucleotides) under Malus domestica (apple). RNAcentral's name for it is "long non-coding RNA (MDOM_LNC005169)". The record is from RNAcentral. Lineage: Eukaryota; Viridiplantae; Streptophyta; Magnoliopsida; Rosales; Rosaceae.
CACAGUCACCGCUUUUUGUAACCUUAGAAAUUUUGUUCAAAUCUGAUCAGCCUUCAAUGGCGGAUGAGGUGGUGUUGUUGGAUUUCUGGCCAAGCCCAUUUGGGAUAAGACUGAGGAUUGCUCUGGCUGAGAAGGGCAUUGUGUAUGAGUACAAAGAUGAGGACUUGUGGAACAAGAGCCCACUGUUGCUGCAGAUGAACCCGGUUCACAAGAAGAUCCGGGUUCUCAUUCACAAUGGAAAACCGGUCUCCGAGUCCCUCAUUGCUCUUCAGUACAUUGACGAAGUUUGGAAUCAUAAGGCUCCACUCUUGCCCUCUGACUCUUACCUCAGAGCCCAGGCCAGGUUCUGGGCUGACUUCGUCGACAAGAAGGUGAUUUUUACUCAUUAAUUUACUUAUUUGCUGUAUUUUUGUUUUGUUUUGAAUAUUUUUGGUUUGAAACAAUUGAAAACAUGGGAAAUAGAACAUCUGGUUAUAUUUUUUAUGUUUAAAUGUUGAGAGUAUCUAGCAUAAGUGCUUAAAACCUCACGCGUUGCUAAUUCAUUUUUGGUUAAAUGCUUACGGAUAUUUGAGCUGGUAAUUAAAACAAUGUUGUUUUAGAAUUUUAAGAUUAGAAGUGUUUAGGGUGUAACGGUUUUACCAUUUAGGAUUUGUAUUAGAAGGAAAGCUAAAUGGAAACUAGAUCUCUGUUUAUGUUUUCAAGGUUAAUAUUACGCUCGCUUUUAAAACAUAGUUAAUUAAGGUUUCAUGUUACAGUUUCGGGUUUAAGGUUUAAGGUUUGUGAUGUAUAUUUAAAAGGGGAGACUUUGGAUGCGGUCCCUAGUUAUGAACAAUCUUUGACUGAAACCUUAUUGGUUUUCAAUUUUUGAUCCAAGUCCCUGAAAUUAAUUGAUAAUUUAUUUCUAUGUACGUUACUAUAUUUUUUUAAUUAAAAAUUAAAAUUUAUAGUUGUUUAUAGUAAUGAGAUUUAAAUAAAAAAACCAUAAUUUGUGGGAUUAAAAAAAUAUAAAAAUAUAAAUAUACUAUUGUGUGUGUGUGUGUGUGUGUAAACAUGGGUACAUUCAUAAAAAUAACCAAAAAAUUAUUGUAUCAAAACAUGGAUACAUUCUUCAAAAUGGGUACAUUUAGCAAAAAAAAAAAAUGGGUACAAAUAAAUAAAAAAAUAUAUGGGUAUACAAUACAAAUAAAACUUUAAAAAAUAUGGGCACAAAAAGAAUUUAAUAUAUGGGUACAAAUUAAAACUGAAAGGAAAAUUGGUACAAAUUAAAAAAGGGUUGCAAAUUAAAAAUGGGUACAAACUAAAAAUAAAAAAUAUAUGAUAAAAAAAUUUAGCCAUAAGUAAAUAAAUACUAAUUGUAACAUUUUUAAUAUUAAAUGAAUAUAUUUAGAAAUAAAAAAUAUUUUAUUAUUGAAAUAAUUAAUGAUAUUAUUAAUACAAAGGACCUUGAUCAAAAAUUGAAAAGUAAUAAGGUUUUAAUCAAUAGAGUAGUAAAAAUAAGGAUGAAAACCUAAUUACUCCAUUUAAAAGAUAUCAGCGGAAGAUCUGAACUUGCUCAAAACAAUGUAUAUUAAUUUCCCUGAAUUUUUGGGGAUGUGAAAUGCAGAUGUAUGAGAUUGGGAGGAAGCUUUGGGCAACCAAAGGAGAAGAACAGGAUGCAGCAAAAAAAGAAUUUCUCGACUGCAUUGGCGUGUUAGAAAGAGAGCUUGGAGACAAGCCUUUCUUUGGGGGGAAUACCCUCGGAUUCGUGGACGUGACGCUUAUUCCGUACUAUAGCUGGUUUCUUGUGUAUGAAAAAUUUGGCAACUUUAGUGUUGAGGCAGAGCACCCAGAAUUUAUUGCCUGGGUUAAGAGGUGCAUGGAGAAGGAGAGCGUGUCCAAGUCGCUUCCCGAGCAGGAAAAGGUCUACGAUUACGCCAUGCUUAUAAGGAAAAAGCUUGGAAUUGCAUAGAUUUUGGUGGAAGCCUGCAAGAAGCUAGUGAUGAUCAGUGUCAUUCCAACUUGUUUGGUCGUGUGGUUGUUCUGUCUUUCAAGAUUCAACCCGUUUUGGGUUGAUGAAUUAGAAUAAAAGGGCACUUGACAAGCUUUGUACUGUAAGAGACACUUUAUUGUGCCUCUGGUCGUAUGUUUAUUUUACUUCUGUAGUCAACUUAUCACACGUGUCAACUUGUUAUGUAAGGGAUCUAAAUCUACUUGAUCAAGUUUCUUAUUUUGUAACCACUUCAUAUCCCACGAUGGAUUAUUGGUUGUCACCAAUUGUGUUUAAUUAUGUGUCUCUCUCUUAUCAGGUAACAAAGACCUAAAUUUAUUGGUCAAUUCUUGUUUCAUAACCGUACAGAAUCAACCAGUAAUAUCUUCUACAUAUACAUUUAUGUUACUGUAAUUUGAUUCAUAAAUCAUUUGUGUCAAUACAGUGCACACUUGGUCAACAAGUGACUUGUCCGUACCUAUAUGAACGUACUUCAUGAGAUCCCCGUGCACAUAAGUUUAAGUUUAUGCAUAAUUUGAUACAAUCUUGGGCAAUUAGCCACAAUAGACAUGUUGCGAUAUUUGGUUGCACUUUUGAUUACGCUCCCUAAAAAUUGCUCUUUUGAUGAAUUCUGCCUGUGAAAAGUUCAUAGUGCCCUUCAUUAAUCGAAAAGGGUACAACAAUACGACCCCCCUCCUCGCCUUUUGUGACGUUGAACCACCACUUAGACAACACCACAAUGAUGCCACAACUACACCCCAAUAAUUUAAAAAAAAAAAACAACCAAAAACUCAAUUUCGAAGAACCUGAUUUAACCAAAAAGGACUUACAUUUUAAUUUGAUUUAAACAAAAAGUCUCAGGAUUUUGAACAACCACUGCAACAACAAUAAUCUGAGAAGCUACAACGACACUACAACGAUACUCCCCAUUUUAUGAUUUUGAAACCAACAUAACCAUAACAACAAUCCAAUGACACCACAAUGAUGCUCCUCCUUUUAUGAAUUUGAACCAACAUAAUCACAACAACAAUCUAAUGACGUCCAAAUGAUACAUCCCCAUUUUUUUAUUUUGAACCACCUCAGCCGUAAUAAUUCAUUGAAGAACCCUCACCUUCUUCAUUCCCCAACCACCAAAACAAAAUUUCGAACCCAAAAAUCGAAUAUGAGCUAAGGCAAGAUGUGAGAGAGAGAGAGAGAGAGAGAGAGAGAGAGAGAGAGAGAGAGAAGAAUAAGAAGAAGAACGGAUCAGAGAGGUGGAGUAAUGAGAAACUGAGUCUUGUUGGGUGUUGUUGGUUUUUUCAUCAAUGAAGGGCAGUAUGGGCUUUUCACAUGCAAAAUUGAUCAAAAGAGCAAUUUUUAAAAAAUGGGAUAAAAAGUGCAACCACAUAUCAAAACUUGUCUAACGUGGCUAAUUGCAAUAUAAUCUUCUAAGGUCAUAAUUGAAUCCAACCUCUUAACAAAACCACUAAAGCUAGUGAUGGUAACUCAUAAGUUAUAUUGGCCAAUACAUCGACCGACGACUUAUUACUAUAAAAACAGUUAAGCAUGAUAGUAACUGACACGCCCUGAUCUUGAUGUCCGAGGGACAUUAGGAUGGUCACGUGCUGGUCGACACCCGAGGGUGACGAAAGCCAUUUAAUGAAUGCAUGUGCUAAGAACAUGUAAAACAUGUGUAUAAAUUUUGUGCGUGACUAUGCAAGUAAUACUCAAAUAUACGUCUUACAAAAUACCGUAGUAAUAUUCAAUUGCCAACAAUGAAUAUAAUGCUAAUGCUUGACAUGUUCAGAGCAUACAUGUAAUUCAUAGUACAAGCGGAAGAUAAAAUAGAGAGGUGUUAUUACAAUAGAAGUCAAAGUAGAGAGAAUGAUGCGGUAUCACUGGUAGGGGAAUGUGUCGUAUGUCGGAUCGUAUUCCUCGUUCCUAUGUCCUGAUGGGGUGCAAAACAACCAUGAGUGGACUAAGCUGAUAUAUAUGUAAUAAAAUAGUUAUUCAACAUACUAACCCCCAAAGUUUUAGGAAAACUAAUAGCAUAAUAGGUGAUAGAUUUGCCGAAAACCCUAGCUUGCCAUAAGACCUUUCAUAAAACAUAUAUCGUAUAUGGUAUGCUAACUAGUGGUAUCAGUAUCGCCCGAAGGCAUAUAGAACUCUUCCUUCACAAGUAUCAAUCACCAGUAGGCUCAUACAGCACCCAACCCGAAGGUCAAUAUAAGUAUCAUCGGCCGUAGGCAGGACAGUGACCACUAGAUAUGCACAAAAGCAGUGAAUAUACUCUUUCCAAACAUAGGUACAUAUAUCUCAAAAUCAUCUUCAGAGUAUAAAGUCAUCCAUCAUCUAUACUAUAAAGAAGUGAGUGAAAGCAUGUUUUAAAUAGUAUAUAGUCAUCCAUCAUAUACACUACAAAGAACAUCAGUUCAAUAAAAUAUGAUAUUUCAAAAUAUUCGCAGUAAGCAUAAUAUCUCAUAAAAUGUUUCAUAAAAUGUAAUCAUUAAAUCAUGCUUUUCAUGUAUGUAUUUAUACUAUUAAAACAUGCAUUUUAGAAGGAGUCUACUCACAGAUACUUUGUUGUCAUAGAGCCGUAAGAAAUAAGAAAGAUGAAAUCGCUGUUAAUAAUUGCACCUAAGCAUAUAAAGGGUACAAUUAAUAAAACUAUACUCAAAAGAUUGAAUUUCAAAAAAACGGACGUCAUAAAACCUAAAAGGGGACCUCGGGUACCCCUACGUGCCUCACGCGCCGCCGUGGGUCGCUGAAAAAUUCGUCGGCACCGGUGCCCCUUCACACACAGGCCCACACGCCUUCACUCGUUGCCUGGGGUUCCUAGGUUCUCUGGUUUUGGGCCUGAGCUUUGGGCUUGGGUCGAACGGUUUCUAAGCUUAAAAGAUUGGGCCUUAUGGGCCGAAGGCCUAAGGGCUUGGAGUCCAAGGGUUUUCAAAAGGGUUGGGGUCUUAGGGUUAACGGGCCAGAGGCCCAAUUUCCACUCGGUCUCAGCGCCGGUUCUUUGGGGUUUUUGGGUUAGGGUUUCAAGGGAAUUGGGCUCAAAUGCAACAACCCAAAGACACAAAUCUACACAACCCUAAGGGCCUGGGUUUGGUGGGUUAAUGGGUUGGGCUUUAAGGCCCGACCCAAAGCUUUUGGCUAAAGGACUUAGGCUUGGGGUUUUGGGUCUAGUCGACCCAAUAGCCUGGUUUCGACGGAAAAAGGAAGCCGGAGCUUCCAAAGCUUCGAUCGGCCUCGAUCUUCUACUCUAGAUGCAAUAUACCAUCAAAUGGUGGCCGGAGUUGGCCGGAAUCUGUGUUCAAAGGUCACGGGCUCGCCGAGGAGUUUUUGGGUGGACUUUGGGUGUCUCGUGCUUCACAGAGACGAGGGAGAGAGAGAGGGAGAGGGAGCCAACAAUGGUGAUGGUGGUGUACACGUUGGGGAUGUUUUGGGGUGUGUGAGUGUUUCUGUGUCUCGUCGGAGAGAAGAGAGGGUGAACUGUGAGAGAGAUCCAAGACUGAGAUAGAGAGUGAAAGUGAGAGAGAGAGCUUGGGGAGAGGAGAGAGAAAGAGGUAGUGGGUGAGUAGUUGCCACGUGGCAAGCAGAGAGAGGUGGAGAAGUUUAGAAAAUCUGAAAAAUAGGAUUUUGAUUGGGUAAGGAUAGGGGACUAGAAUGUAAAUUUCAAUAAAUCUUUAGGGAAAUUGUGAAAUUUACAAUAAUUUGGGGGUGGGGUUUAAUAGUAACCCAUAUUGCGAGAUAAAUUUAUUCUUAUAGUUGAGGUCAUAAAUUUAUUCUUAUAGUCGAGGUCAUAUCUACUCCUCGUCUAGGCUUCUUGCCGAACUUGAUUUUCUUAUGCUAUUAAUUGUCCAUACUUUUGUUAUUAUUAUGGUGUGACUGUUCUCACUUACUUUUACUGGGUUAGAGACCUAUGAGUUGAUUGGUGAAUAUAAUUUAAAUUUGUGUUUUUCACCAAUGUAAUAUAUAUAUAUAAAGGUUCUAAAAAACGCUAGGCGUUAGUCGGGUGCCGGGCUGGCGCCUAGGCAAGUUUAAGUAAACUUCUUGUAUAUCUUCUAAAUAAGUGCAUAUUGACACUGCAUUGAACUUGUAUAUCAUGCAUCCAAAUGUAAAAACAAAGUGUUAAAUGACAUAACAAGUUCAAUAUGGCAUCACUAUACACGUGUUAAAUGAUAUAACAACUUUCUAAAGAUGUGCCAUAUUUUGUAUAUCUUGUUUAUCACUAGGCAGAUUUAGGUAAUCCUCCCAACCUUCAUAUUUAGUUGACUAAUACAUCAACUCUUUAUUAAUUAAAAUACUAAAUAACAUAACUUAAAUGAACAACAACUAAAAAAAAAAGAAAAGCAAAAUACAAGAAGUAAAAUACAUAUUAACGUAAGAUAAUAACUAAUAUUAAACCCUUGAAAAUGGAUAAACAUAUUUAACACCAGACUCUCGAUACCAUUGCUACAAUAACUCUUGGGUAUGAAUAUUAUAUUAAUAUUUAGAAAAUAGAUUACUUUAGUCUAAAUAAGGCUUUUCAAUUGCACUAUACAAACGAACAGUGUUUUGAACCACAUUUCAGUUUAUUUACAAGAUUGCCACUCGAAUGCUUUUAACCACCUUUCACUUAAUUUACAAAAUUGCCACUUAGGCUUAAAAACCUAUUUUCAGCCGUUGUUUGCAUUUAAUGUUUGACUCAAUAACAGAGAGGGGAGGGGUACAUCACGCCUGACAAAUUGGAGAGAGACAAUCGCUUCCAUUUUUUACUCGAAGAUAGCUGGGUGUGCCUCUGGCGAGCGGAGAGAGGGGGAUAGAGCGACUACAGAGGAGGGAGACACAGAGCCUGACAAAUUGGAGAUAGAUGAGAGCUACGGGUAUGGACUGAGUGAGAGAGAUAUUUAGGUAGGUGCUCUGCCAGGCUCUUUCUGCCGCUAAUCUUGAUGCACACGUGUUGAUGAUCGUGGGAAGGGAAGAACGGUGGUAAAGUUGGCAUUUUCCAUUUCCUUCUCAAACCCUCAUUGCCUCUUCCGUCUCGUAGACCUUGCGAGAAUGACGGUCUCGCCUCCAUCCUAUCCUCGAGUUGUCGCCGUCUCUCUUCUUUAGGUAGGGUGUUGUGCGUGUGCGGUCAUGCUUGAUGAUCAUGGAAGCCAGUGAUUUAGCUUUUCUAUGACAUAGCCUCGACUCUGCUUCCAUCUCCAUUUUCUCUCCUCGCCUUGUCUCUCAGAAAUCACCAACAAGCUUAAAAACCACCAAGCCGUUAGAAAUCUCUUUGAUUCUCUCUCAGAAACUACGAAGCACAACGACCUCUUGUUGAAAAACCGUGAAAUUAGUCCCACUUCGAAGGAAAUUUUAAGCCCGUAAAAGCCUUGGUUUCCUGGUGAGUUCUCCAGCCGAUUUGGAGUGGGUAAUUUUGUGAUUUGCAGUUUAUUUUGGGAAAUGAUUGACGGGUUUGCAGUUCAUUUUACCAUUUCUAGAAUAUUUGCAGUUUAUUUUGGGGGUUUACACUAAAAUUAAGGAAGCAUAUAUGAACGCAAAGGCUCGAGGAUGUACGACAACUUGGAUAUGAUAGGGUACAAGCUAUGACAUUUUUGCAAAUUCAGUUUUUUUUCUUUUCAUUUUAGGGGUUUUUUUUUUUACUAUUUAGUUUUUGGGUUUUGUCUAAUUUUUGUGGUCUGCUUUAUAGAUUGUUCUCUUUGGAAGCUUCUUUCCAGCCUUGCGCUUCUUCUUGCCUGGUGCCUUCUCAUUGAAUAUUGGAGAAUUAAACCACAUGUGUGUGUGUUUUGUCGAUGUAAGAGGAGAACGACAUAAGAACAUUCAUCUUUAUAUAUAUAUAUUGUGCUUUUUCUAACCCAUCAAUUUCUUUUGAGUCAACCAAAUAGUCCCAACUUACAAUUUAUGUUGUGAAGUAUAAUUGUUUGAAAAAUUAAGUAUGCAUGUAUAUUUUAUGUAAGCAUAAAUUUAAUGAUUUACAAAAACUUUUAAUUGUUCCAUCCUAAAUAUCUUCCUUUAUUCUUGAUGCCAUGCUACUUGCUCGACCCUUUCUUGCAUCAGUUGUGUCACCUAAAAUUAAAAUGAAAUGAAAUAGUUUCCCUAAAUGCUUAAUGUUGUGAAUGCUCUAUACUCAUGUGUUUUACAGACGCUCAGUUCAAAAGAACUAGUUGCUGCUUGGGUGAGAGGUGUAUAAUUUCAUUAAAAAAAAAAAAAACUUUUUUGGUUGUUGGUGGUGGUUUAUCUGUAUUUGAUUGGUAAUUUCAACAUUUGAUGAUUCAAUAAUAUUUUGAACUUCCAUUUCUAUUGUCAGAAGAUAACGUCUCCAUCUCGAUUCUGCAUGAUCAAAAUGUACGUUUGGCUAAGACAUCCAUGCUUUUACAAGUAGAGAGGAAGCUGCAAUUAGAAACAACGUUGAGUGACAUUUAAGUCUUCAUUUGACAAAAAAAUAAAAAAAAUAAAAAAAUAAAACAUAAAAACUUGGAUUCUGAUAUCUAUAUUUGUUGUUUUAUUCUAUUGACAAUUCGUUGUUGAUUGGUUUUGUUGCUUUCCUCCACUUCUUAACUCAUAUUCAUUAAUCUACCUAUUUUAUUUGGGUGAUAAGUUCACUCUUUUAAUCUUAUUAGCUAAAUGAAGAUAUAGGGUGUGGUUUUGUUAAUGGCGGUGGAUGAUCUGGAUGAAAGUAUGUAUCUUGGAGAUUUUUUUGCUUACAUAUGUUUAGGCCCGGAUUGAAGAAGUUUUGUGGAAUGAGAUUCUUAUCAGAUUCUUAUACAAAAUUGUUUCUCUGUUUAUGGCAGGUAAUAAAUGUGGUCCAACCAAUGGCUGAUAAAAUGUCAUUGUAUAUAUGCUUUUGUCGAUUUCUGCUACGAUAAUGAGGGAAUCCAGCGGAUCGAGGCCAGUCGAUCUGAGGUUUGUGCUCCUCUAUCCCUUUCUUUCUCUCUUUCUGUGAAUUUCUUGAAAUUGACGACGCACGUUCUGAUUCUUGAUGUGUUUGGGAGAGGAGAAAGCUCUAGAUUAGCUUUGAUCACUUGAAUUUUUUCUUAUUUAGUUCAGCACAGUCGGACUACAUAAUCCUACCAUUGGGCUAUUUCUAGGGAGGGUUUAUGUUUACUUUUGUUAGUAUGUUGACAGUUUGGUAUGUCUAUCAUAUUGAUGGAACUAAAUUGUGAGUUAAUUAUCGUUUAGGUUGUUAAUAGUGUUUGUACAGUUAAGACAACAUGUGUGCUUUAUGCAGAAAGUUCAAAGGUUUCUGUUCCUGGCUUUAGUUUUAAUGUCGAAUAAUCAUUGUUUGAUUACAUUGUAGUAUUAGUAUGUUAUCUUAAUGAUUUCAUAUGCUUCUCUUUACGUUAAUUGUGUUGGAUUUCUACAUUUUUGGCUUUUGUUUUCUUUAAUUAAAUGAAGUUUGUAAUGUAUUUGGACAGGUACCAAUCUUCUUAAUGAAGAUUAGAGCAAUCAAAUGGAGCUUCAUAGGAUAAGUUUGUGAGGGUGAGUUUUUUUUUUUUUUUUUUUUUUGUUACUGUAUUUUUCUCCUUCGUGGCAUGCUUCUUGAUGGUUUUACUUUUACUUAAGUCUUCAUUUCGGUUCCUUGCCCAGGUUAUACAAAACUCAGUUGGUGUAAACCUUGCUGUAGAUGUAUGGAGUCUUGGGUGCAUUGUCUUGGACAUGGCUACGACAAAAACCACAUUGGAGCCAGUAUAAAGGGGUAUGAAUUUAAAUCUGAAACGAAUACUUUUGUAUAUUUGGUUUUGUAGUUAAUUUCACCUUCUGGGUUUAUGCUGGGUUUUAGUACAAUUUUAAAGGGAGAUAUAAUCCGGUGAGGUUUCUCAAGUCCAUGCAGAAGGCAGGGCUCUAUGCUCACCUUCGCAUUGGCCCUUAUGUUUGUGUUGAGUGGAACUUUGGGUAAUUCUUUUUCUCUAGAUCUAUAAUUUUGGCUUUUUUUCUUUCUUAUUUUUUAGGAUUUUCCACUCUCAUUCUAUUUUCCUCUCCUAAUUUUAGAAAAAAAGUAUUUAAUUUCUCUGAUUGUGUGGUUUGUAGGGGUUUUCCUAUUUGGCAUAGGCAAGUUUUGAUUUUUACUUUUCUUUUUUCUCACAGGGGGCUCUCGGAGAAGCAUGUAAUGGAGACACCACUUCUGUCAUUAUCUUUGGAAGUAUUUGAUGGUCGACUGGAUGAUCCUAUUAGCGUGUCCAUCCGAGGAGGUUUGUAUUCAUCUUUCCACUUUUUUGGGAAAAAUGUUUAGAAAUCAUAAAGAUGCUUUUGAAGAUAGGUAAGCAACAAUUUCUAAAAUUUUAGUGUAAUCUUUUUUCAUUAUGAAGUUCUUCUAAUGGUAAUUAGUGAUUUCAAACAAAUUCUGUGAAGUGAAAAGUGAAAUUUUGUAUGUUUAUCAUUCCAAUUUAUCUUUAUGCAGACUUUUUCUGUUGAAUGGAAAACAUACGUUUUUUUGUCUUUGUUUUUUUAUUUUUUAGUUUAUUGGUUGAUUCAUUUUAUGAUUGUUGAUAUGCAAGAUGCAAAGAUAAUUUCUUUGUUUCUAUAUAUUGUUACUAUAAGGGGUGGUUUGGGAGUGAGGUGCUUAAAAAAAAUGCACCCAUGAAAAAAAGUUGUUAGGGUUUUAGGUGUUUGGUAAACUAAAAAAAAAGGGCUUAUUUUGGAAGCUGUUGUGAGAAUAAGCUGAAAUCCAAAGGAAAAGCUGAAGCAUCUAUUUGCAGCUUUGGAAAACUGGUUUUUUUUUCAAAGCACACAAAGCUACAUUGCUCCUUUAAUGAAAAGACCCACUAUCAGACUGUUUUUUUUUUCCAAAAGCACUUUUACAAAAAAGUUUACCAAACACUCUGCUGAUUUAUUUCACAGCCGCUUAUUCUUACAGCACAGCUGCUUAUUCUCAUAACAGUUUUUUUUCAAAGCACAGCAAUACCAAAUCAGCCCUAAUUCUACCAAUAGAAACCGGUACUGUGAUUGUGGCAGUAAAUGAACCUAGUCAUUGUGGCAGUAGAUGAACCAUAACCAUGCCAGUUUGUAGCCUGCGAUUCUACUUGUGGUGGUUUAAUUUAGUUCUGUUUUCAGUUUCAGGAGAUCCUGAUUUUUCGUUCUUUGGGCCUUUGUUUGCAGCCUUCAAAGCCGUCUCUGCUCACGCCUUAUGAUUGUAGUGGUAAGCUUCCCUUUCAAAAAUUCCUUCCUUCCAGUAUUUAGGGAUUAUGAAGUGAUUUCUCUGCUUAAUAUGGGAUUAGGGUUACAUUUUUCUUAUAAUAAAAAUCUUUGUAUGCUACCCGGAAGCUUCCUUUUCAAAGAUUCUUUCUUUCCAGUAUUUAGGGAUUAUAAACUGAUUUCUCUGCUUAAUUUGUUCCAAAGUAUAAUGUAGAGAUUGCUUUAAUAUAUUGGCUUAUUGGCUGUAUGUCGAGUGUCUGAGAUAAGAUUUAGGAGAUCUAGUUUAGGUUUUGCAAAGAGAGAGAGAGAUAGGGGGUGUCCGAAAGAAAUGUGAGAGGGUUUAGGCGAGGGAUUUCAGGGAUUUGUUUAAGGUUCCUUUUCUGCAAUUUGCAGACAGAGAAAUGGGACAAGGGGGAUAGAGAGAUGUGAGGAUUUUCUGUGAGGGUAAAUGGGCAUUUCGUUUUCCAGUUGCUUCUUGAAACCCGAGAGAUUUCUACGAUUGUAGAGAGAGAUGGGGGUGUCCGUUAGGUGCCCUUUAAUUGUCACUUUUGUGAUUUGUCCAUCCUUGAUUGUUGUGUGAUUCAUUCUCAUGAAUGUUCUAUGCACAAGGUUUCAUAUUAUUCCUUCCUUUUGAUUUUGAUAUUGUUGUGCUUAAUUUCUGUUAUGUUUUAUUGGGUGAUUAGAUUAACAGACAUUGGAUAUUUUGGUACAAUAAUUUCACAUCAUGUGUUACCCUUUUGCAUCACCUUAAUUGUUCGUCACAUGCUAACUUUUAAUUAUGUUUUCUUUGGGUCAGUCUCUAUCUGGUAAAUUUGUCCAUCCUUCUGGAGUGGAGCACUAUCUUUCUGACAACAUAACUGCUCUGAGAAACUGCUAUGGAGACAAACAGUUGUUUACUCCGUUGUAGGUAUGUUUUUCUUAAGUAUUUUAGAAGGAUUCUUAACGCUUCCCCAUUAUAAUCUUAACCUUUGUAUCUAUCUCUCUCAAAAGACGAUGAGAGUAACAACUGUUGAAAAGCAAAUUCUCAAAUGUAUCUAAGCUUAUGCAUACAUUGGAUAAAAACUGAAUCUUAAAUUAGGGCAGUGAGUUUUGCAACAUCCUGGUGCUGCAUAUAUUGUCACACUUUUAAAAGUUGUAUAUCUCAGAUAUAUUGGGAAUUUAAUUAGUUUUAUGUCAUUUUCGUAGGGCAAUUUAGUAGAGAUUUAGCACAUAAAAGAAGAUGUGGGAAUCAGUACAAUUAACCUAAUAGUGAUUUGGUUCAAUGUAAAGACUACUGCUAGGGCACUCAAGUCAUUUUCUUAAUUUAUGCGCAUAUAUAUUAUACGUAACCAACACAUGUUUUCAAAUGAUGUUAGUGUUCAAGCUCUGCUGAUAUUUUAUUCUGUUCAUUUUGAUUUUGUUUUUCAGUUGUGGUUAUAGGAUUGUUUUGUCUAUUUUUUUUUCUUUUUUUUUUCCCCUAUGUACAACUUUUCUAAAAUUCAACUGUUCUCAAUUUGGUUAUUUGAACUGAGGCCUGUUAGGCUGUGCCUUUGGAAGGUCUCAUUGCUUUUAAAGUUGAAUGGUGCUAACUGAAUAUAAUGCGUUCAUUCUUCAGUGUGUGUGAGCGUAUGUGUAUGCAGUGUAUGUGAGUGCAUGCCGUGUGUGCAGUGUGUCACUUGGGCUGUUGGCUUUUUGAGGUAUGUUCAUUUAUAGAGAUUUUGUAACUGUAUUGUUGAAUUUUUAAUGUAUGCUUGGAUUUUAAAGGGGCACCAUAUUUAUGGGUUGUUGUACGAUUCUAGGGAGAUAUAGGGGAUUGAGAGGUCAUGCUAAGGAGAAUAUAUUACUUGCCACAAAGGAAUAUACUUCAUAUAAUAGCAAUGUGAUGAUGUGUGGCAUGCUUUAACUAAGGGAUAUUUUUGUGUAGUAAGAAAGCCAUAUAGAGUCACAUUUUUGUUUUUUCUUUUUUUUUUGGAUUUGGUAACUGAAAUUUUGUGUGAACUAAUGUUUCUUCUGUUUCUUAAGGAAACAUAACUUUUUUGGAAACCAUCUCUUUCUAAUCAAAGACGUUUAGUUUCUUCCCAUUCAUUGUACAAUGUAUUUAUAUGCCAGCUCACUUGAAUGUAUAUAAAAAAAACUAUUUGUUCAUAAUUGUGUUGAAUUUAUUCAACUUAAAUGUGUUUUAUUCAUCCGAUUACACCUGAAACAACAGGUUCCCGCAGCAACGCGCGGACAUAUUUUCUCGUCAAUUCUAAAGUUGGUGGGCAAUUGGCCUGUUCAUGGCUACAGUCAAGAAAAUGCCACUCGAUUUCACUCUACUUAAAAAAAGGCCAGCCAAAUUAGGCUGGGUUGGGAGGGUAAUUCUCAAAAAUUCAGAAGGUGAUUUUGUCUGUAUGGUUUAGCACGGAGCCACUCGAUUUCAUGCUAUUUACAACAAUACCAGCCGAAUGGAGCUGGAUUGGGAAUGUAAUUCUCAAAAGUUCCAGAGGGUAAUUUUGUUCGUUUGGUUUAGCACGGAUUGCUAGGUUACACGCGUGCGCUCCCUCUUCCUCUCUCUCCUACGUGAGCCCUCUCUCAUCUCUCACUUUUCCUGUUUCUGUCCUCCUCAAUCCCUAGCAGCCACAAUUCCAUCUCUUCCGUUUCUUUCAUCCCAAAACGGAAGAAAUAUGGAAAAUCAGGGUGUUCGUCACUGGAAUUUCCAAUGGGGAAGUUUCCUGGCCGACGAGCACACAGCUCCCCGAGAGGUUGGCGCCGGUUGAUACUUCCUGUCGGGCUUCUGCUUGUUGGGGGGCUUGUCGGGCAAGACUUGUCAGGCAAGGCUGAAAGAGAAAGACAAAGUUAACUCUGAAAAGUGCCUUUGUGGGGCCUUAGGUGUAGGCCUUGAGGCUCACAAUCAAAAUUAACUUUAGGUGCUCAGGCAUGCCACUGCCAUCUUUAGCAUGGUAGAUGUAAAACAUAUGUUGAGUUUAAUUAUAUUUGCCCGAGCCACCAAGUUUAGCUAUGAAAUGUGCCUUUUUAGGGCCUUAGGUAUAGGCCUUGAGGCUCGCAAUCAAAACCAACCAAGUACUCGAACAUAUAGAGGUUGUUUCAUUGUUGCAGAAGUAUUAUGACUGUUAUACUUUAAUCACCCGAGCCCGACGAACAGAAUGAACCCAAAUAGGUGCAUUUGUAGGGCCUUAGGUAUAGGCCUUGAGGCUUCCCAUCAGAAUUAAUUCAAUACUCAAACGUUCUAUGACAAUCAUAAUAUAACAGAGAUAAAACUAAGAAAUAGGUCGAUUACUUGCGCCCCAAGUAACUUCGGACUUUUUAUUAUCAAAAACUGUCGUGGAUGGGUUAAGUCCACAUAAGGUUCUUUUUUAUGCCUUGAGAUCAAGGACUUUUGAAUAAUUAAUCUUGUAUGCCUGAGAGGUUAGAACUUAGAUAUUCCAACUUAUCUUUUGCAUGGUUGGGCACUGUUAACCCGAUCGGAUUCAAGAACUGAGAAGUCUUUUAAUCAUAAACUUGCUAGAAAUAACUUGGAUACAAAUGGAAGUAUACAACAUAUUACUAGAUCUAUGAAUGAAAAAGACAGAACAAAGAGGGUCGUGCAAGGUUUCACCUUGUCGGGCAAGGCUGAUCGUCUUGCAACUUCCUAUCUUUUGUGAUUUACAAAGGGUUUGAGAGCUAAAAAAGGGAGAUUGGGAGAUGAUUUUACAGGAAAGAAUCGAUACUACAACAAGAUUUAGACAAGGUAGCAGAGCUUUUACAAAGGCUUUUAGUGAAGGUUGAUCCCGAAAGGGAUGAAGGCUUGAUGCUGACUACAACUUCGUUUGCAAAUCUAGCUUUGAGCAGAAUUUGUGUAUUUGUUUGUUUGUUUGAGUGUCCUUAUCUUUGAUUUCUCUUUCUUCUUUUAUAGACGAUUUGGCUUGGCCUCAUGUAACAUUUAAUCUUGUCCGAAUGUAACUUGAAGGGUAGUGACUCAUCAGCUAUUUACUUGUACUGUCAUUGUAAAGUACUUUUGGGUUGAUUAGCUGGCUGGUCUACACCACUUGACUUCUAGGUAGGUGAGCAAGUGGCUCAAAUGAUCUGCACUUAAUCGAAAAAGGGCAUUUUCUGCCUUCUGGGCUUCGGCUGAACUUCAGGUUUCUUUUCUUCUAGACCUUCUUUUGGGCUUAACUACAUUUUGAGCCCAAAGUUAAGUUUUAACCUGACAUAGGGCUCUUCCAUUUGCUUCCACGGAUUUCUCGAGCUCCAGAUUGCUAGCCUCCGUAUGAAGGUUCGUCUCUCUCUCUCACUUUUUUUUUUCAAUUCGUGAUCGAAUUUUCUUUCCAAGAAUGUUUGAUCUAUUGCCUUCGGAAAGAAUGCCCUGCAUUUUUCUGCCUUUUUCUUUUUAGUGAUUUUUUUUCCUGAUGAGAAUGCAAGUUUUGGAUUUAUUGAUCUUCGAUUCCGCCUCCCCUCUCCUCUACCUGACCCUCCUCUUCUCCCUCCUCCUCUUCCUCUCCUACUUCUUCUUUCUCACUCCCAAUUCCCUCUUCCUCCAGACCUCACUUUCCAUUUCCCCAAAAGUUCCUUCGGUUCUGCAUCAACACGCGGUUGCUCUCGGCAGUUGCCCAAAGUUUCGAAUUUUGAGCCCUGAUGAGAUCAAGAUUUCGGUCUGGAAUCAUACAGUUAACUCAUUCGUAGUGGGAGGUAUGUGGGUUUUCCCCUGUUUCUCAUCCUUUUGCUCUAAUUUGGGGCAAAACUGUAGAAUUCUAUGCAUCUCUGUGUGUGUCUUGGUGUAAUUUAUGUGUAGUCUAUCAAUUUUUGGUGGAGAUACUGAACAUUUCGGCUUUGUUUCUAUAGUUUGUAUUCUAGAUUUGCAAUUUAUAUGAUAUGUUGGUGAUUUGUUUGCUUUUCAUCCUUCCGGAGCAAUAACAUUACAAUUUCGAUUUUUGGCAUCGGAUAUCAUAGGAGUUUACUUACAUGAAUUUGUUUUUAGCAGUUGUUAAUUAGAAUUGGCUAAUUCUUUUACUAAGAAUUUUUUUUUACUCACUCUGUUGGUUCUUCUUCAUAUAAGUACAUAGAAAACGCAUCAAAGACUGAUUAGAAUUAGUUAGCUUAUGGGUGUGUUAACAUGUUUAAGUAGUAGUACUUAAACUCAAAAGAUGCUGGAGUGUUUCUUUCAUUAAUAAUUUGUAUUGAACUCAGCAUUUCAUAAGAGUCGAACCUGAGAGCUUUGUGGAAAGGAAUAAAACAAGAUCGUACCAUUUUAUGUAUGUUUGAUUACAUUGCUUAUAAUUAGUAAUAAUUACAUUUUAUGGACAUUGUAGCUUUCAUGGAGUUCCUUGCUCAAGCAUGUGUGAAGAGGCUAUUUUUUUUCCUUCUGGUUUGUUCACUGUUCAGUUGUGGUUCAGUUCUCCACCUUUUGGUUGGAGUACAACAGAUGCUUUUAAAUUAUUAAAUUAGGAGAGCUAAGAAGAUAUUUUGUGCUAAUUGCUAUUUGAUAACUCUGGUUUUCUCUUUUGGCUACCACCUUGCUCUCUCUCCAUUUCUCUUUUUCCUCCUGCUCUGCUGGUUUUUCUGUGUUACAACCUCUCUGCAAAAACCAGACUGUAUGUGUUUUGCAUGUAUUUGUUCAUGCUUCUAUUGUUUGUUGUUGUGGUGGUGACCCUGUGAAUGGAAUUCUCAGUUAUCUAUUCCUCUAGAAUUAUACAUGAUGCAUCUGAUUUUUGUUCAUCGACAGAUGAUGCCACAUGCUUGAGAUUUUUAUGCCAUCACUCUGUUGGUUCUUUUGUGAUUGUUAUUGAUUGUUUUAAAAUGUGUAUGAUGUGUGUGAUGCGCAAAUUAGAGCAGAGGUUUCUACAUGUGGUUUUAAAUUGAGCAGAGGCGAUAAUUUUUUUUAUUAGAGAAGGAAUCAUUGAGGUCACUUUAGAAAAUGGAUGGGUGUCUGGUUAUUUUGUCAUUUGAGUGGUGUAGCUUUGUUAUGAUCUCUGUUCCGGCACUGUGUGAUUAGUGUUAAUGGUUUUUCAACACUGUUUGUAACCUAUUAUUUUCGUUGUUGUCAUGUAACUUAGUGUUGAUGGCUGUGUUUGUGAUUUUCAGAAAUUUGGAUCGUUAGAGGGAGUCUUAGUAUCACCGUUCUGCGACGGAUUAAGUUUAUGUCACGGCCUCAAUACAUUUUAUGGGUGGAGAUGAGUGGUACAAUUUUUUGGUUUUAGCACAUUUUUGUGUUUGUUGGAAGGUCUCAAUUACUUUUUUUAGAUAAUCUAUGGUCUCAGAUGGAAGAGUUGAAUGCAAAACAGGUCAUGAUGACAAAUGAUACGUUCCCGUUAUUAGUUGCUUUUCUUUCGUGAAAUGUAAUUUUGUCGUAGAUUAAGUUUGUUGCACCAUCACAGAUUAAGUUCAUUGCACUGUCACAGAUUGAGUUCAUUGCACUGUUACAGAUUGAGGUACUUUUCCUGUGUCCGUUUGUUUGCGCUUUGAAUUCUUACUCUGAAUCUCAUUUUUGCAGUUUAGAUUGGACUAGCAUUGCAACAUUGUGAUCUACUCUUGCUGCUGCCUUUGAUCUUGGGGUUCGGAGCGAUUGCACUUGAAUCAAGGCUCUGGUAGUGAACUUUCUCAUUCUUCCCGAAGUGCUUUAAUAUGUGUUGUUGAUAACUGCGCUCUCUCAAUGAACCAGAAAUAUUUUUAGACAAAUCACAACUUCCAUAUUUAAGAAAAUGAGUGGCUUUUUAACAAUGCAUGAAUGUAGCUUACAUGUUCAGAAAAAUUCAUGGAUAUUUACAUUCAACCCGCAAGUAUCAUUAACUCAUAAAAAAUUAAGUUUAAUUCAUGGAUGUUUACAUUGAACCCACAAGAAUAUCAUAAAAAAUUAUGUUUUGUAUUUUCUUUAUCGCGUGUCGCUUCAAAUUUUUAUCUAAAACAUUGUCGAAAUGCUUAUUGGUUACUUUUUAUGUCCUUCUGUUCAUUCAUGAUUGUGUUGAAUUUACUUAGGUCCCGCCGCAACGCGCGGGCCUAUUUUCUAGUUUAAACUAAAGUAAAGAAAAGUUAGAAAACUGAUUAACAGGAAGAAAGGAAAAUACUUCAGACUUCGGACUCUUCACAGUUAGCGGUAAGAAGACGAAGCAACACAGACUCGACCUCCUUAUAAAUGUCAAAUCUGUUCUUCCAAUCUCUUAUUUUUGGAUCAGGUUCUCCGGUCUGCUAAAAGGCUCUUCGAUUUAUUCAAUUAGUCACUCAUGUGUUUGGACGACGGCGAUGUUGCUGCAGAGACAGUGAGUUGUGACAGAGCAGGAGAGUUUCAGGUACCAACUAGCUGCCCAACGCCCAUCUAGGCCGCCCAAGUACCUGCCUAGGCCGACCAACGACCGCCUAAUUCUUUUUCCGAUUUUUCUUUCGAUUUUGGUUAAAUCCCAACGGCUAACCAUCACCCAGCACCUAGGUGCCGCCUAGGUCGAUUUUUUAAAACACUGAUAUAUAUAUAUAUAUAUAUAUAUAUAUAUAUAUAUAUAUAUAGAUUUUUCCUCGCGUUACACUAUAAAAAAAUAAAAUAAAACAACAACAACAACAACAAUGCUAAGUUCUAGGUAAAUGACUCAAAAGAAUUAUAAGUAUGAGAUUGAGGUGGGUCCUGACACAAAGACUACUUCCCUGUCAUGUUCAUCUACCUAAAUUUGAAAUCUUUUUGUAGUGGCGUUUAAAAAUUCCCUCAGAGUGAGAGCUUUUCUCUUCUUGAGAGUUUCCCAUCUUAAAACUUCUUCCUUUCUUCAGAAAGGAUUUGACCAAACAAAAGAAAAGUGAUAUCUUUUCCACCAAGAAUUUAGAAUUAUUAUAAAGGAAUAGAUUCAUAUGUUGUCGUCAGACAAAUAAAAAUACGUUUUUCUUUUUAAUACAUCGAUAUUUUUACACUAAGAGAUCGAUAGCCACACAUAAUUGAUAACUUAAUUUGGUAUCGAAUUUGCCAUCCACGAAUUCGAACCUAAGAACUGUCACUUCCAAGUAAAAAGGAAUAUCAUUAAACUGUAGUACUGAGUAGCAUAAAAACACGAACGCGUAUUAUAUAUUAUUAAAUACAAAAGUCCAACCACAUGUCAAAUGUCGCUAGUUGCAAUAUAAUCUUCUAAGGUCAUAAUUGAUUAAAGUAUCAAAUGUGGCUGCUAAAAUGACUCAAAAGAAAUUAAAGUAUCAGCUCGAGGUGGGUCCUGACACAAAGACUACCUCCUUGUCCUUGAACAAGUUCGUCGACCUAAAAUUGAUAUCUUUUACACCAAGAAAUUAGAAUUAUUAUAAAGGAAUAUAUUCAUACGCUAUAGUCCGACUAAUAAAACACGUAUUAUAUAUUAUUACAAAUCAACGUGCAUUAACAAAGAAAUAUAAAAGGAAAUGCCGGAUUUGUCAACUUGAUGUCGAGAGCAGUGACAUAAUCGCCGUCCAAUUGGAAGAUUCUCGAAUCAAUAUGUACAAGAAAGGAAGAGAAGUUGAAUAUCUCCAUGUCCGGAGUCUUUGACGACUGCUUCUCCUCUGCAUUUUCUGUCUAUAAAUACUCAAUCUGCUAGUCUGCUUCUUCACCCACUAUUCACACUCACACUCACCGCUUUUUGUAACCUUAGAAACUUUGUUCAAAUCUGAUCAGCCUUCAAUGGCGGAUGAGGUGGUGUUGUUGGGUUUCUGGUCAAGCCCAUUUGGGAUAAGACUGAGGAUUGCUCUGGCUGAGAAGGGCAUUGUGUAUGAGUACAAAGAAGAGGAUAUUUGGAACAAGAGCCCACUGUUGCUGCAGAUGAACCCGGUUCACAAGAAGAUCCCGGUUCUCAUUCACAAUGGAAAACCGGUCUCCGAGUCCCUCAUUGCGCUUCAGUACAUUGACGAAGUUUGGAAUGAUAAGGCUCCACUCUUGCCCUCUGACUCUUACCUCAGAGCCCAGGCCAGGUUCUGGGCUGACUUCGUCGACAAGAAGGUGAUUUUUACUCAUUAAUUUACUUAUUUGCAGUAUUUUUGUUUUGCUUUGAAUAUUUUUGGUUUGAAACAAUUGAAAACAUGGGAAAUAGAUCAUCUGGUUAUAUUUUUUAUGUUUAAAUGUUGAGAGUAUCUGGCAUAAGUGCUUAAAACCACACACGUUGCUAAUUGGUUUUAGGUUAAAUGCUUACGGAUAUUUGAGCUGGUAAUUAAACAAUGUUGUUUCAGAAUUUUAAGAUUAAAAGUGUUUAGGGUGUAACGGUUUUACCAUUUAGGAUUUGUAUUAGAAGGAAAACUAAAUGGAAAUUAGAUCUCUGUUUAUGUUUUCAUGGUUAAUAUUACGCUCGCUUUUAAAACAUGGUUGAUUAAGGUUUCAUGUUACAGUUUCGGGUUUAAGGUUUAAGGUUUGUGAUGUAUAUUUGAAAGAUAUCAGCAGAAGAUCUGAACUUGCUCAAAACAAUGUAUAUUAAUUUCCCUGAAUUUUUGGGGAUGUGAAAUGCAGAUAUUUGAGUUUGGGAGGAAGCUUUGGGCAACCAAAGGAGAAGAACAAAAUGCAGCAAUAAAAGAAUUUCUCGACUUCAUUGGCGUGUUAGAAAGAGAGCUUGGAGACAAGCCUUUCUUUGGGGGGGACACCCUCGGAUUCGUGGACGUGACGCUUAUUUCAUACUAUAGCUGGUUUCUUGAGUAUGAGAAAUUUGGCAACUUUAGUGUUGAGGCAGAGCACCCAGAAUUUAUUGCCUGGGUUAAGAGGUGCAUGGAGAAGGAGAGCGUGUCCAAGUCACUUCCCGAGCAGGAAAAGGUCUACGAUUACGCAAUGUUUUUAAGGAAAAAGUUUGGAAUUGAGUAGAUUUUGGUCGAAGCCUGCAAGAAGCUAUUGAUGAUCAGUGUCAUUCCAACUUGUUUGGUCGUGUGGUUGUUCUGUCUUUCAAGAUUCAACCCGUUUUGGGUUGUUGAACUAGAAUAAAAGGGCACUUGACAAGCCUUGUACUGUAAGAGGCACUGUAUUGUGCCUCAGGUCGUAUGUUUAUUUUGCUUAUGUAGUCGGCUUAUCACACCUGUCAACUUGUUAUGUAAGGGAUCUAAAUCUACUUGAUCAAAUUUCUUAUUUUGUAACCACUUCAUAUCCAACAAUGGAUUAUUGGUUGCCACUAAUUGUGUUUAAUUAUGAGUCUAUCUCUCUUAUCAGGUAACAAAGACCAAAAUUUAUUGGCCAAUUCUUGUUUCAUAACCGUAUAGAAUCAACCAGUAAUAUCUUCUACAUAUACAUUUAUGUUCUUGUAAUUUGAUUCAUAAAUCAUUUUUGUCAAUAUAGUGCACAUCCGGUCAACAAGUGACUUGUCCGUACCUAUAUGAACCUACUUCAUGAGAUCCCCAUGCACAUAAGUUUAAGUUUAUGCAUUAAUUUGAUAUAAUCUUGGCCAAUUAGCCGCAAUAGACAUGUUGUGAUAUUUGGUUGCACUUUUGAUUACACUUCCUAAAAAUUGCUCUUUUGAUGAAUUUUGCCUGUGAAAAGUUCAUAGUGCCCUUCAUUAAUAAAAAAGGGUGCGACAAUAUAGACACCCAACUUCCAACGACACCCCCCACCCCUCCUUCGUUUUUGAUGAUUAACUACCACUUAGACAACACCACAACGAUACCACAACUACACUCUAAUAAUUUAAAAAAAAGAAAAAUUAAUGAAAAAGACUUGAAAACUUUGCGUUUUAACGAUAAGGACAAAAUAAAGGGUAAAGUGAAUAGUACCAAGAUUGACUUUUUAAUGUUAAAAUGUGGUUUUUCGUUAAAGUGAACAGUACCGGGAGCUUUUCGUUAAAGUUCCCUUAAAAAAAAACGACCAAAAACUCAUUUUCAAAGAACCUCAUUUAACCAAAAAGGACUUACAUUUCGAUUUGAUUUAAACCAAAAGCCUCAUGAUUUAGAACAACCACUGCAACAACAAUAAUCUGAGAAGCUACAAACUCCAACGAUACUCCUCAUUUUAUGAUUUUAAACCCAGCACAACCAUAACAACAAUCUAAUGACACCACAACGCUGCUCCUACUUUUAUGAUUUUGAACCAACACAAUCACAACAACAAUCUAAUGAUGUCCAAAUGAUACACCCCCGUUUUUAUUUUAUUUUGAACAACCUCAGCCGCAAUAAUUCAUUGAAGGAACCCUCACCUUCUUCAUUCCCCAACCACCAAAACCAAAUUUCAAAUCCAAAAAUCGAAUAAUGAGCUAAAGCAAGAUGAGAGACAGAGAGACAGAGAGAGAAGAAGAAGAAGAAUGGAUCAGAGAGGUGGAGUAAUAAGAAGCUUACCUACUUCCAUGGUGUCCUAGAUGUUAUUCGCCGCUCCAAAUUUGAUUAGUCAAAGAGGAGCAACCAAAGAAGGGAUUUGACGGUGUUGUUGGGUGUUGCUGGUUUUUUUUUUAUCAAUGAAGGGCAGUAUGGGCUUUUCACAUGCAAAAUUGAUCAAAAGAGCGAUUUUUAAAAAGUGUGAUAAAAAGUUCAACCACAUAUCAAAACUUGUCUAAUGUGCCUAAUUGCAAUAUAAUCUUCUAAGGUCAUAAUUGAAUCUAACCUCUUAACAAAACCACUAAAGCUAGUGAUGGUAACUCAUAAGUUAUAUUGGCCAAUACAUUGUCCGACGACUUAUUACUAUAAAAGCAGUUAAGCAUGAUAGUAACUGACACGCCCCGAUCCUGAUGUCCGAGGGACAUUGGGAUGGCCACGUGCUGGACGACACUCGAGGAUGACGAAAGCCAUUUAAUGAAUGCAUGUGCUAAGAACAUGUAAAACAUGUGUAUAAAUUUUGUGCGUGACUACGCAAGUAAUACUCAAAUAUACGUUUUACAAAAUACCAUAAUAAUAUUCAACUACCAACAAUGAAUAUAAUGCUAAUGUUUGACAUGUCCAGAGAAUACAUCUAAUUCAGAGUACAAGCGACAGAUAAAAUAGAGAGGUGCUAUUACAAUAGAAGUCAAAGCAAAGGGAAUGACGCAGUAUCACUGGUAUGGGAAUGCCUCGUACGUUACGUUAGAUCGUAUUCCUCGUUCCUAUGUCCUGAGGGGGCGUAAAACAAACAUGAGUGGACCAAGUUGAUAUAUAUAUAUAUAUAUAUAAUAAAACAGUUAUUCAACAUAUUAACUCCCAAAGUUUUAUGAAAACUAAUAGCAUAAUAGGUGAUAGAUUUGCCGAAAACCCUAGCAUGCCAUAAAACCUUUCAUAAAACAUAUAUCGUAGAUAGUGUGAUAACUAGUGGUAUCAGUAUCACCCGAAGGCAUAUAGAACUUUUCCUUCAUAACACUUCAUUCACAAGUAUUAAUCGCCUGUAGGCUCUUACAGCACCCAACUUGAAGGUCAAUAUAAGUAUCAAUUGCCCGUAGGCUCCUACAGCACCUAACCCAAAGGUCAAUAUAAGUAUCAUCGCCCGUAGGCAGGACCUAACCCAAAGGUCAAUAUAAGUAUCAUCACCCAAAGGUCAAUAUACUCUUUCCAAACAUAGGUACAUAUAUCUCAAAAUCAUCUUCAUAGUAUAAAGUCAUGCGUCAUCUAUACUAUAAAGAAGUGUGUAAAAGCAUGUUCUAAAUAGUAUAUAGUCAUCCAUCAUAUCUACUACAAAGAACAUCAGUUCGACAGAAUAUGAUAUUCCAAAAUAUUCGCAGUAAGCAUAAUAUCUCAUAAAACGUAAUCAUUAAACCAUGUUUUUCAUGUAACGACCCGCCCCUAAAAAUUAUAGUUUUUAUAAUUUUAAAAUGUGAAUAUACAAAAAUGCCUUUCGAGGCAAAUAUGUUGACUUUUGUUGCCACUUUGUUGUGUCAAGUAAGAAUCAUUUUCUUGGUGUAUUUGGAUAGUACUCGUCGCUACGAAUGCGAAGGCAUAAACGGAACAUGAUUUGAAGUUAUAACGAAGAAGUUAUGGGCGAGUAAAAAUAGGGACAAAAUAGUCAUUUAAAUAUUUUUUGAAAGGCUCUAGAUUUUGGAGAAAAAUCUGGAAAGCCACAUGUGUGGCCCAGAUUGAAAGAAAUGAGAAACAGAUGGAUGGAAGAGAAAAUAAAUGAGAGAAAAGAGGGAGGGUGAGGACCAAUCAGGAGAAGGGAGAGGGUGAGUGACCAAUUAGAGAGGAGAGAAAGGAAGGGAAAGGAGAAAGAGGAGGAGCACCAGAUCACCCUUGACCCGGUUCCUCCCCGUCGACCCAACCCGAUUUCUACACACCCCGAUGCCAAUUCUGGCAUUUUCCUGGCAAAUUGACCGUCGCCACCACCUACACACGAGUACACAACACUUCUUUUUCAACUUCCAUCCCAAGCCCAAUGGUUUUUGGUCUUGUUUUCGUGGAGAUGGCAUUGGCGGCACCGUGGGGGGAGAUCGGUAGAAAUCUGCCAUUUCUGAAGGUAAACCCUGCGACUACUAUCACCAUUAGCCUUUCCUUGAACCCAGGAACAAUUUCCAAUCAUUGGUUAGAGCAUCGGAGUCAAUUUGAGGACGAAUUAAGAAACACCCUUUAUAGGGUUUCCGACCUGUUUUAGUGAAAUUGGGGCUUUUCCCGGCCAAAUUGGCCUUAGUCACAUGUAUGAAAGUUGCUCCAUUCAUCGAGAUCUUCAUUUCUAUAAAAUUUUGGAAUUUUUGGAGUUGUUUGAUUCUCCGGCGAGUCGGGGCGGGUGGCCACCACAUGUGGCGGCGCGUGGAGGAAAAACCUGAGGUUCCUCGAUGUGCCGAAUCCGAAUCCGCCAUCCGUUUUCCCAAAUUCUAACAUUUAAGUAAAGUUUUAGUAAAAGGUCCUUAAUUGUGUUUAGACGCGUUGAUGGGAAACAACGUCAUUCUCAAUAGUUCGAGCGGCUUUCGGGCGAUGGAAAACUUGUGAGUGGACCCCUUAUUAACUAUAUAUUUUUAUAAAUUAUUAACCUAGCAUGCAUUUCAUAUUUCAUGCUUUGAAUAUGCUUUAUAUUAUGUUUUUUGGGAUUUUCUAUAAUUAUGGUUUAUAUAGAAUUCAUGAUUUAAUUGCUUUACGGAAUAUUUAUAAUUUAUCGAAUUUAUGUUUAAUAGUGGUGAUGAAUUAUUGGUUUUGGAUAUAUGAAACCCUUGGUUUUACGAAUAUGUUUUAUAUACGAUUUAUGCGACGAGAUUUUGGUACUUACCUAAUGGGUUAUCAUACGGCACAUCCGCACAUCACGGGCAUUAUGUCUAUGGCCAUAGGUCACAAAUGAUGGAGGAGUGAGAUAUGAUAUAUUAUAUACCCCCAGCUUCACCACCGAAAGCAGUGUCGGACUGCUUCACUAGCCACGGCUAGUGUCGGUGUGGAUGUAUGCUAUUUUAUACAGCAUCACCUUCGGGUGAUGGACAUGUUAUACAACUUCACCUUUGGGUGAUGAACAUAUUCUUCAGCUUCACCUUCGAGUGACGGACAAGUACUGCCUUCGGGCGACUAUGAUACCCCUCGUUGAGUAAAACAUGAAUAUGAUUUACGAUGUUUCACAAAUGUUUUACACUACAUGCUAGGGUUUUUCAUAAAACCUACUAUGUAGAAUUAUAUAUUUGUUUUCAAAACAGGGGGUUAUUAUGUUCAAAAAUAAAAUAUUUUCCUAUUAUUAGUAUUAUUAUUAUAAACUCUGGUCCACUCACCUUUUUUGUUUUGCGUCCCCUUUAGGAUUUAAAUUCGAGGCACAUAAUCCCGACGUCAGGACACUUCUACAUAUGUAUUCUAGAGUCUUCUCAGUAUAGGUAUCAUUCAUUUGUUCGUAUAUUUUCCUAGUAAUUCUUCCAUAUUAUUCUUAGUAGUUGUAUGCUCUGAACACGUUCUUGCCAUGAUAUUUUACGUUUUAAUUGCAUAUCUUUUACUUAAAUACAUGUUUAAAAUGGCUUCGUCACCCUCAGGUGUCGACCAUCACGUGUCUACCCUGAUAUUUAGGGAUAUCGGGGUUGGGGCGUGUCAUUUCAUGUAUGCAUUGUACUAUUAAAACAUGCAUUUUAGAAGGGGUCCACUCACAGAUACUCCAUCAUCGAAGAGCCGUAAGAAAUAGGAAUGACGAAAUCGCUGCUAAUAAUUGCACCUAAGCACAUAAAGGGUACAAUUAAUAAAACUAUACUCAAACGAUUGAAUUUCGAAAAAUGGAAGUCAUAAACGAAUUCAAGAUGUCGAAAAACAUAAAAAGGGACCUCAGGUACCCCCACACACCAUCACACGCCUCCGCAAGGUGGUAGCUCCGGCACUCAUGCACCGCCGUGGGUCGCCGAAAAAUUCGUCGACUAGACUGUGGCUCCACGCGUCGGCACCAGUGCCCCUUCAUGCGCAGGCCCACGCGCCUUCACGCGCAGCCUGGGGUUCCUGGGUUCUCUGGUUUUGGGCCUGGGCUUUGAGCUUGAGCCGAAGGGUUUCUGGGCUUAAAUGGUUGGGCCUCACGGGCCUAGGGUCAACAAGUCAAAGGCCCAAGUUGCUCAGCUUAAGGGCCUGGGGUCCAAGGUUUUCAGAAGGGUUGGGGUCUUGGGGUUAACGGGCAGGAGGCCCAAGUUCCACUCGGUCCCAAGGUCGGUUCUUUGGGGUUUUUGGGUUAGGGUUUCAAGGGAAUUCGGCUCAGAUGCAACGACCCAAAGGCCCAAAUCUACAUGGCCUUAUGGGCCUGGGUUUGGUGGGUUAAAGGGUUGGGCUUUAAGGCCAGGCCCAAGGCUCUGGGCUAAAGGACCUAGGCUUGGGGUUUUGGGUCUAGCCGACCUAAAAGCCUGGUUUCGACGGAAAAAGGAAGCUGGAGCUUCCCAAGCUCCAAUCGGCCUCAAUCUUCUACUCUAGCAUGCAAUCUACCUAUCAAAUUGAAGCUUAGGAGAAGAGGAAGAGAUUCAUACCUUUGGCACAAUGAAUGGUGGCCGAAGUUGGUCGAAAUCUGUGUUCGAAGGUCAUGGGCUCGUCAAGGAGUUUUUGGGUAGACUAUGGGUGUCCCGUGCUUCACAAAGAUGAGGGAGAGGGAGAGGGAGAAGGAGUCCACGAUGGUGGUGGUGGUGUCGACGUUGAGGAUGUUUUGGGGUGUGUGGGUGUUUGUGUGUCUCACCGGAGAGAAGAGGGAGGGUGAAUUGUGAGAGAGAUCCGAGAGUGAGAUAGAUAGUGGAAGUGAGUGAAAGAGCUCGGGGAGAAGAGAGAGAAGGAGGUAGUGGGUGAGUACUUGCCAUGUGACAAGCAGAGAGAGGUGGAGAAGUUUAGAAAAUCUGAAAAUGAGGAUUUUGAUUGGGUGAGGAUAGGGGACUAAAAUGUAAAUUUCAAAAAAUCUUUAGGGAAAUUGUGAAAUUUACAAUAAUUUGGGGGUGGGGUUUAACAAUAACCCAUAUUGCUAGAUAACUUUAUUCUUAUAGUCAAGGUCAUAUCUACUCCUUGUCGAGGCUUCUUACCGAACUCGACUUCCUCAUGCUAUUAAUUGUCCACACUUUCGUUAUUAUUAUGGUGUGACUGUUCUCACUUACUUUUACUGGGUUAGAGACCUAUGAAUUGAUUGGUGAAUAUAAUUUAAAUGUGUGUUUUCACCAAUGUAAUAUAUAUAUAUAUAUAUAUAUAUAUAUAUAUAUAUAGAGAGAGAGAGAGAGAGAAAGAAAGAAAGAGAGAGAGAAAGAGAAAGAGAGAGAGAGUUUUUCUAGCGUUACACUUAAAAUUCAAAUAAAAAAAAUAAAAAACAAUGCUGAGUUCUAGGUAAAAUGACUCAAAAGAAUUAAAGUAUGAGAUCUAGGUGGGUCCUGACACAAAGACUACUUCCCUGUCAUGUUCGUCUACCUAAAAUUGAUAUCUUUUCGUAAUGGCAUUUAAAAACUCUCUCCGAGUGUGAGAGCUUUUCUCUUUUCUUGAGAGUCUUUCCCACCUUUAGUGUGUGUAGCUUCCAACUCGUCGAUUUUGUUGUCACCGACCCUCUCUGAGGUGAGGGUUGGUGGUUGCUCUGGCCGUUUUCUUUCUCCUUUCUCCUUUCGUUCCUUUUGCUUCCUCUCUCCCCAUAUUUCCUCCCCGUUUUAUCCAGUCUGGUAUACCUUUUGGGCGUCCAUCUUCUUCGCUUCCGUUCCGGUCUGCUAUCAGGUUUCAACCCAUUUUGUUGCACUCUUCCGAGAAGGUGUGUCAAGUUACGGUUACGCCGGCUCAAGUGUUUACAACACCACCUCUUUCUUUUUGUCUGCCUUUGUUGGCAGUGUUAUCCAUGGUAUUCCCAUGGGCUUCUUUCGUUUUUUGGCUGGGACCGGUGAAUCGUUCGUGGUUGGGAGAUAAGAUAUCUCUUUGUUUCAUCUCUACGGUGUUGCUUGGUGGAAGAUGUGGUGUCGAUUUGGGUAAUUGGUUUUGGAUGAUUGGGAAGCACUGUUGCAGCAGUGGAAGCAAACUGGAAUGUUCCGGAGCUCUGUAUCAGAAUGUAGGCUUUGGGUUGGGCUUUUGUAAGAUAGUUCGGGUACCCCUUUUUGUAUUGUUAAUAUUUGUUUGUGGGAAUUUGUCUUGUAAUUAACUUUUAUAAUAAAACAUCUUCCUUUCUUCGGAAAGGAUUUGACAAAAAAAAAAAAGAAAAUUGAUAUCUUUUCCACCAAGAAUUUAGAAUUAUUAUAAAGGAAUAGAUUCAUAUGCUGUCAAACAAAUAAAAAUACGUUUUUUUUUUUAAUACAUCGAUACUUUUUGUACUAAGAGAUUGAUAGUCACACAAUAGGCAACUUAAUUUGAUAUUGAAUUUGUCAUCCAUGUGAUUCAAACCUAAAACAUGUCACUUCCAAGUGAAGAGGAAUACACCAGACCGUAGUACUGAGUCACAUAAAAACACGAACACGUAUUAUAUAUUAUUAAAUACAAAAGGAAAAAUGCCGGAUUUGAUGUCGAAGGCAGUCACAUAAUCGCCAUCCAGUUGGAAGAUUCCGGAAUAUAUACGUACAAAAAAUAGGAAGAGAAGUAGAAUCUUUUCAUGUCCGGAGUCUUUGAUGAUUGCUUCCCCUUCGAUUUUGUCUAUAAAUAAACAAUCUGCUCGUCUGCUUAUACACCCACUACUCACUCAGAGUCUCCGCUUUUUUGUAACCUUAGAAACUUUGUUCAAAUCUGAUCAACCUUCAAUGGCGGAUGAGGUGGUGUUGUUGGAUUUCUGGCCAAGCCCAUUUGGGAUGAGACUGAGGAUUGCUCUGGCUGAGAAGGGCAUCGAGUAUGAGUACAAAGAUGAGGACUUGUGGAACAAGAGCCCACUGUUGCUGCAGAUGAACCCGGUUCUCAUUCACAAUGGAAAACCGGUUUCUGAGUCCCUCAUUGCGCUUCAGUACAUUGGUUUGGAAUGACUCCACUCUUGCCCUCUGACUCUUACCUCAGAGCCCAGGCCAGGUUCUGGGCUGACUACGUCCACAUGAAGGUGAUUUUUACUCAUUAAUUUACUUAUUUGUACUAUUUUAAUUUGUUUUGAAUAU